AGCAGCCGCGGUAAUUCCAGCUCCAAUAGCGUAUAUUAAAGUUGUUGCAGUUAAAAAGCUCGUAGUUGAAUUUCGGGGUCAGUAGUUUGGUCAUGCCACAGGUAUGUGCUGAUCUUACUGAUUCCUCCUUCCUGAUGAACCGUAAUGCCAUUAAUUUGGUGUUGCGGGGAAACUGGACUGUUACUUUGAAAAAAUUAGAGUGUUUAAAGCAGGCUAACGCUUGAAUACAUUAGCAUGGAAUAAUGAAAUAGGACGUUCGAUCCUAUUUUGUUGGUUUCUAGGAUUGACGUAAUGAUUAAUAGGGAUAGUUGGGGGCAUUAGUAUUCAAUUGUCAGAGGUGAAAUUCUUGGAUUUAUUGAAGACUAACUACUGCGAAAGCAUUUGCCAAGGAUGUUUUCAUUAAUCAAGAACGAAAGUUAGGGGAUCGAAGACGAUCAGAUACCGUCGUAGUCUUAACCAUAAACUAUGCCGACUAGGGAUCGGAUGAUGUUAAUUUUAUAAUGACUCA
Molecule: ribosomal RNA, 508 nt
Filed under: uncultured Glomus
Lineage: Eukaryota; Fungi; Glomeromycota; Glomeromycetes; Glomerales; Glomeraceae
Description: SSU rRNA
Rfam family: Eukaryotic small subunit ribosomal RNA
Source: RNAcentral